This 582-nucleotide non-coding RNA is filed under the name Pongo abelii (Sumatran orangutan). Lineage: Eukaryota; Metazoa; Chordata; Mammalia; Primates; Hominidae. The record is from RNAcentral.
AUUGCCUCCGUGUUUUAGCAGCAGAGCUAUGAUAUCUUUUCGGCCUUGCUUGGCUGCUUCAUGCAUUGCUGACCAUCGCUUGACACAGGGCUGGUCUAGGCUAGUGUUGUGUUUGAUCAGAGUCGAUAUCAUGUCAUAGGAGCCAUUUUUUACAGCUUGAAAAUGAUUGUUAAAAACAACAGAAGAAGAGAUAGAUGUGGAUCUCACUCAUAGAGUUUACGGCCUAGAGAAGAAGCCUAUGCUGCCUUCUAUUUAAAGAGAGACUCAAAGUCUGGGCCUAUACUGGGAAACGUAGAAGAUGUGAGGCCACAUGUAACAUUCUGGGGUAACCAGGAGGCAGAACCCAGAAAGGAUCUAAAGCCAAGUUAAGGGAUUCCUCUUAUCUCUCCUCUACAAAUCUCAAAGACCAUAGAUUCAAGAACAAACUGAGGAAGUGCUGUGAAUAAUCCAUUUUCCUAUAAAGCCUAAGAAGACUUGGCAUGGGUUCCACAACAAAGGCGGUGAUUAAGCAGAAACAUCUGCUAGCAUACCAGGGUUGUGAAUGCCUUCCAGGGAGCUCUGAAGUUCUAACGCUUGUUGGAG